RNAcentral lists this ribosomal RNA (460 nucleotides) under uncultured bacterium. RNAcentral describes it as "partial 16S ribosomal RNA". It matches the Rfam family "Bacterial small subunit ribosomal RNA", at positions 338 to 795 of the family's 1533-position model. The record is from RNAcentral.
CCUACGGGAGGCAGCAGUGAGGAAUAUUGGUCAAUGGCCGCAAGUCUGAACCAGCCAUGCCGCGUGAAGGUCAGUGCCCUAUGGGCGUUAAACUUCUUUUGUGCGGGAGCAAUAAUGGUCACGUGUGGCCAGACGAGAGUACCGUACGAAUAAGCAUCGGCUAACUCCGUGCCAGCAGCCGGGGGAAUACGGGGGGUGCAAGCGGUUUCCGGGAUUGUUGGGGUUAAAGGGUGCGUAGGCUGUGAGGUAAGUCAGCGGUGAAAUGCCCCCGCUCAACGGGGUGAAGUGCCAUUGAUACUGGCUUGCUGGAAUGCGGAUGCCGUGGGAGGAAUGUGUGGUGUAGCGGUGAAAUGCAUAGAUAUCACACAGAACACCGAUUGCGAAGGCAUCUCACGAAUCCGCGAUUGACGCUGAUGCACGAAAGCGUGGGUAUCAAACAGGAUUAGAUACCCUAGUAGUC